This is a long non-coding RNA of Aquila chrysaetos chrysaetos, 1140 nucleotides long. RefSeq lists it as uncharacterized. The transcript is spliced from 2 exons. NCBI's taxonomy places the organism in Eukaryota, Metazoa, Chordata, Aves, Accipitriformes, Accipitridae. The record is from RefSeq and is a predicted model, not a curated record.
GCUGCAUUCUGCAGACUGGCAACCGCUUUGUGGCUACUGGAAGCGUGCGUGUUCUCGAGAAGGCUGCCCCGGUCCGAGGCAGCGCUCCCCGGCGGCGCAGCGGAGCCCGGGCCCGGGCGUCCCCCGGCUGCGACCUGCCAGAGCCGCUCCUGGCUCCUGUCCCAAAGAGUGAAUUGGGCUGACGGGCGUAAUAAAAGGAAGCCAAAACCACCCCAACCCAAAUCGACUGGGCGGCAAAGAUGGGUGAUAUCAUCCUGUAGGUAUUUGCACCUGUGUAAGUCUGAUUGACCUGCCAGUUCUACUGUUCACACCACCCAAUUCAAACAUGGUCCCUGACUGGUGCUGUUAUUGCAGAAAGCUGCUUUGAUCACUGCUGCUUUGGCCGUAUCCUCAGCCCGAUAAUUUCCAGUUCCCUUUUCCUGUAUAAACUGUAUUCCUGAUACCCUUGCUACUGAUGCUAUUCGGUGCUUUUUAAAAUUACCCCUUACUAAUUAAACAGCAGGUAAUCAGGGAAGAACCCUAACUACCCUCUUAAUUUUAAUGGUCAGGAAAAUGUACUGACAUCUUCAGCAUCUUGGAUGAAAUCGUUCAGGAACCUGUGAACGUCCUGUGUACUAUAAACAACAAUGAAAACACUGAAGUGUUCUACAGUGUCUACCAAAGAAGAGUCAGGAAACUGGUUUUGCCUGGAAGCUUCAGCCCUGACUUGUUUUCCUGUCACACCUCAGAAUAUGCCCUUUGCCAAAGGGUACUAUAAUGAUAAUGCAGAGCCAGCUGUAUUCUGCACAGAAAUCUUGAGUCAGUGCUAUUCACUGGAGGCAUUACGGCUGCCCUGAGGGCCAAGUGCUUCAGAUGAUGGUAAAAAGAGACUUGGUAAAUGAUACCAAGUAAUCAGUGGUGACCAACAAUAGUUUCUUGCCCCAGAGUGCUCUGAAAACUAAGCCUCCUUAAUAAUCAAACAUUUUAAGGCAGCUAAAAGAAAGGCUUGUAUGAUCUCUUUGAAGGAUCUCUCCUUGGAGAUUAUUUUUUCCUUUUCUACCAGUUUCAUGCCAGAGUAACAUCACUGGUACCAAAAGCAUUGUAUCUAAUUUACAAGCAAUGUAAGUAGGCAGAGAAAGAUGUCUUUUGCACAUGGUCUUA